CGUAGGUGGCGAGCGUUAUCCGGAAUGAUUGGGCGUAAAGGGUGCGUAGGUGGCAGAUCAAGUCUGGAGUAAAAGGUAUGGGCUCAACCCGUACUUGCUCUGGAAACUGAUCAGCUAGAGAACAGAAGAGGACGGCGGAACUCCAUGUGUAGCGGUAAAAUAGCGUAGAUAUAUGGAAGAACACCGGUGGCGAAGGCGGCCGUCUGGUCUGGAUUCUGACACUGAAGCACGAAAGCGUGGGGAGCAAAUAGGAUU
This 255-nucleotide ribosomal RNA is filed under the name uncultured bacterium. RNAcentral's name for it is "partial 16S ribosomal RNA". It matches the Rfam family "Bacterial small subunit ribosomal RNA", at positions 526 to 779 of the family's 1533-position model. The record is from RNAcentral.